UUGCUGGAGGUAUCAGAAGUGCGAAUGCUGACAUAAGUAACGAUAAAGCGGGUGAAAAGCCCGCUCGCCGGAAGACCAAGGGUUCCUGUCCAACGUUAAUCGGGGCAGGGUGAGUCGACCCCUAAGGCGAGGCCGAAAGGCGUAGUCGAUGGGAAACGGGUUAAUAUUCCCGUACUUGGUGUUACUGCGAAGGGGGGACGGAGAAGGCUAUGUUGGCCGGGCGACGGUUGUCCCGGUUUAAGCGUGUAGGUGUGUGUUCCAGGUAAAUCCGGUUCACUUUAACACUGAGGCGUGACGACGAGGCACUACGGUGCUGAAGCAACAAAUGCCCUGCUUCCAGGAAAAGCCUCUAAGCAUCAGGUAACAUCAAAUCGUACCCCAAACCGACACAGGUGGUCAGGUAGAGAAUACCAAGGCGCUUGAGAGAACUCGGGUGAAGGAACUAGGCAAAAUGGUGCCGUAACUUCGGGAGAAGGCACGCUGACAUGUAGGUGAAGUGAUUUACUCAUGGAGCUGAAGUCAGUCGAAGAUACCAGCUGGCUGCAACUGUUUAUUAAAAACACAGCACUGUGCAAACACGAAAGUGGACGUAUACGGUGUGACGCCUGCCCGGUGCCGGAAGGUUAAUUGAUGGGGUCAGCGCAAGCGAAGCUCCUGAUCGAAGCCCCGGUAAACGGCGGCCGUAACUAUAACGGUCCUAAGGUAGCGAAAUUCCUUGUCGGGUAAGUUCCGACCUGCACGAAUGGCGUAAUGAUGGCCAGGCUGUCUCCACCCGAGACUCAGUGAAAUUGAACUCGCUGUGAAGAUGCAGUGUACCCGCGGCAAGACGGAAAGACCCCGUGAACCUUUACUAUAGCUUGACACUGAACAUUGAGCCUUGAUGUGUAGGAUAGGUGGGAGGCUUUGAAGUGUGGACGCCAGUCUGCAUGGAGCCGACCUUGAAAUACCACCCUUUAAUGUUUGAUGUUCUAACGUGGACCCGUUAUCCGGGUUGCGGACAGUGUCUGGUGGGUAGUUUGACUGGGGCGGUCUCCUCCUAAAGAGUAACGGAGGAGCACGAAGGUUGGCUAAUCCUGGUCGGACAUCAGGAGGUUAGUGCAAUGGCAUAAGCCAGCUUGACUGCGAGCGUGACGGCGCGAGCAGGUGCGAAAGCAGGUCAUAGUGAUCCGGUGGUUCUGAAUGGAAGGGCCAUCGCUCAACGGAUAAAAGGUACUCCGGGGAUAACAGGCUGAUACCGCCCAAGAGUUCAUAUCGACGGCGGUGUUUGGCACCUCGAUGUCGGCUCAUCACAUCCUGGGGCUGAAGUAGGUCCCAAGGGUAUGGCUGUUCGCCAUUUAAAGUGGUACGCGAGCUGGGUUUAGAACGUCGUGAGACAGUUCGGUCCCUAUCUGCCGUGGGCGCUGGAGAACUGAGGGGGGCUGCUCCUAGUACGAGAGGACCGGAGUGGACGCAUCACUGGUGUUCGGGUUGUCAUGCCAAUGGCACUGCCCGGUAGCUAAAUGCGGAAGAGAUAAGUGCUGAAAGCAUCUAAGCACGAAACUUGCCCCGAGAUGAGUUCUCCCUGAGACUUAGAGUCUCCUGAAGGAACGUUGAAGACGACGACGUUGAUAGGCCGGGUGUGUAAGCGCAGCGAUGCGUUGAGCUAACCGGUACUAAUGAACCGUGAGGCUUAACCUUACAACGCCGAAG
This 1689-nucleotide ribosomal RNA is filed under the name Salmonella enterica subsp. enterica serovar Tennessee. RNAcentral describes it as "bacterial LSU rRNA". It matches the Rfam family "Bacterial large subunit ribosomal RNA", at positions 1270 to 2925 of the family's 2925-position model. The record is from RNAcentral. Lineage: Bacteria; Pseudomonadati; Pseudomonadota; Gammaproteobacteria; Enterobacterales; Enterobacteriaceae.